This 200-nucleotide unclassified non-coding RNA is filed under the name soil metagenome. RNAcentral's name for it is "partial contains internal transcribed spacer 2 and large subunit ribosomal RNA". The record is from RNAcentral.
AUUUUUGCCGGCAUCACUGUCAGCUCCUCUUAAAUGCAUUAGCGGAACUUUAUUAAGGACCAGCUUUGGUUUGAUAAUCCUAUCUAUGCCGUCGCUGUGGACUUUGCAUGUUCGGCUUCUAAUGGUCUUCGGACUGUCUCUUCUGAGGCAUACACUUUAAGCUUGACCUCAAAUCAGGUAGGACUACCCGCUGAACUUAA